CCCCUCUCCUUGGUGCAUCCUUUUUGCGGCCACCGCAGGUCGGAGCUGCUCGGCUCUGAGUUGCGGAUGCCUGUGUUCUCAGGUGUGAAGAGCCACGCCUGCGAGCAGUGUGGGAAGUCCUUUGCCAGGAAGGACAUGCUGAAGGAGCACAUGCGUGUGCACGACAACGUCCGCGAGUACCUGUGUGCCGAGUGUGGGAAAGGCAUGAAGACCAAGCACGCGCUGCGCCACCACAUGAAGCUGCACAAGGGCAUCAAGGAGUACGAGUGCAAGGAGUGCCACCGCAGGUUCGCGCAGAAGGUCAACAUGCUCAAGCACUGCAAGCGGCACACGGGGAUUAAAGAUUUCAUGUGUGAAUUGUGUGGGAAGACAUUCAGCGAGAGGAACACGAUGGAGACCCACAAGCUCAUCCACACAGUGGGCAAGCAGUGGACGUGCUCCGUGUGCGACAAGAAGUACGUGACCGAGUACAUGCUGCAGAAGCACGUUCAGCUCACACACGACAAGGUGGAGGCGCAGAGCUGCCAGCUGUGCGGGACCAAGGUGUCCACCAGGGCCUCCAUGAGCCGACACAUGCGGCGCAAGCACCCCGAGGUGCUCGCGGUGAGGAUCGAUGACCUGGACCACCUCCCGGAGACCACCACCAUCGACGCCUCCUCCAUCGGCAUCGUCCAGCCUGAGCUGACUCUGGAGCAGGAGGAUU
This 703-nucleotide small RNA is filed under the name Pan troglodytes (chimpanzee). RNAcentral describes it as "processed transcript". The record is from RNAcentral. Lineage: Eukaryota; Metazoa; Chordata; Mammalia; Primates; Hominidae.